CGCCUCUCAGACAUACACUCAAUGGCAUUGCAAGUCGUCACCGCGGUACGAAUGCUGUUGAAGAUGAGCCUUACAGAAGCAAACAAGCUGGUUGAUGCAGAAGCACUGCGCGAAAUGAGAGAAGAUGCUUACCAGCAGUCCUGAAGCCAUUGCAAAGGUUGAUUCUCUCUGUGGUUGGAGGGUGAGCUGGUCUGGUCACCGCUGUAUCCCAACAUGUCUCUAGGUAUGCUGGAGAGUGGGGCUACCCAAGUCCUGCCGAGCUGGGUUCGUGCACCCUCCUGGUUACCUUCUGGAACUUUCCAAAGACUUGACUGAUUGGAGAUAUAAAAAAAAGAGCCCAACAUCUCCUGGAUUCACAGAUAAUUACAGCAGAGAAGGAAACCAUUCAGCCAAUCAUAUCUGUGUAUGUCAACAAAGAACUGACUAUUCCAAUCCCACGUCCCAGCUUUUAGCCCAUAGUCCUGGAGGCUACAACAUUGCAAGUGAAAAUCUACAUUCUGCUUCAAUGUUAGGAGUUUUUCUGUCUCAGCAAUCCUUUUAGGCAGUGGGGUUAGGGUUAGGGUUUCCAGAAUCUCACCAACUUUCCGAUUGAAAAAAAAUACAUUUUCCUCAACGUAGUGGUUACCACAGUUGCCUGACUGCGCUGGGGACCCGGAUUCAAUUCCAGCCUGGGGCGCCUGUGUUUGCAGAGUUUGCACGUUCUCUCUGUGUCAGUGUGGGUUUCCUCUGGAUGCUCCGGUUUCCUCCCACAGUCCCAAAGAUGUGCAGGCUAGGGGAAAUGGCCGUGCUAAAUUUCCUGCAGCGUCCGGGGGGGAUGUGUAUUCUAGGUAGGUUUGCCAUGGGAAAUGCAAGGU
Long non-coding RNA from Stegostoma tigrinum, 854 nucleotides. RefSeq lists it as uncharacterized. The transcript has 3 exons. The record is from RefSeq and is a predicted model, not a curated record. NCBI's taxonomy places the organism in Eukaryota, Metazoa, Chordata, Chondrichthyes, Orectolobiformes, Stegostomatidae.